Molecule: long non-coding RNA, 1563 nt
Organism: Mya arenaria
Lineage: Eukaryota; Metazoa; Mollusca; Bivalvia; Myida; Myidae
Exons: 2
Source: RefSeq, a predicted model, not a curated record
AGCAUGUUUAACAGUUAGCACGCGUUAUGGUAAACUCUCCGACGCUAGUGGAUUUUACAUAUCAGACCCACCAAUGGAACAAAAAUAGAAAUAUAAGUGUUGAUUGUUCGACAUGCAGAGAUGUUUUGACAUGAUUCAUUCCACUUCAGUUGAUGUGGUUUUAACUGCUCUCAUUUUCUUUAUCAACAGUAUGUUUAUUCAUAUUUCGAAACUUAUCUAAGUGUUUACGUUAAGAAGUUUGCAGCGUGCGUAUUAAUUGCGAAAUGUCUGUAUCGCAUCUCUCUAUAUAUAUGAGGUGAUCUAUCUGUGACCGUAUUAAAGAAACAAGGAUUGCGAAUCAGUGAUAUCAACCUUUACAGGCGAUUUCACGUAUUACCACUUGUUUAAAAUUUUAUUAUCCAAUCAAGUCAUGUACGUAAACACCGUUUUGAUAACCACGGCAGUCUUGUUUGUGUGCGCAUGCGCUGUUCCAAUGACAUCAUCGACAACAACAACGACAACAACAGCACCCUCGCCGACACCAGUGGUUUCAUCAUCUGCACCCGAAUCAGAACAAUCAUCCCAGCCAAGUAUACGAGACGCUGCUGUUUUCCUGUGUGCAGACCUCGUUUAUCAGAGUGAGCUAUUAGCAAUAUUCCCCCCUGCGGAUAGUUCGGUACACAACAUAAUAAAUGAAACUAGAGCGAAAGAAUACCAUGACAGAAGUAUGGACUUGUUCUGUGAAAAUGACACAUUUGUCGCCUAUACGCUGUGCGUCAACAUUCUAUCAAUAUUCAGAAAUAAAGCUAUUGACAGACAAAUUGGUGAAUACAUAGAUAUGAGCAAAUUUGGAUCAGCAAUGAAGACUUACUGUAUUAACAAGGAACUCGUCAAACAAAAUUACGGGUGUGUUCUUGAUGUAGUGCGGAGUAGAUCAGCUCCCUGUCAGUUGGGGGGAAUGUAUGGACUGAUGCAGGGUGUUGGGAUGGGUUUGAGGCUUGGACUCAGCAAGGAAGUAUAUUGUCCGAUCCGUUCUGCUGCUAUAUCUUGUAGAAGUGCGCAGUUUGCAAGGUGUAAUGGCGAUCUUGCCAGGGAAAUGGAGUCCGUCUAUAAUGACCUUUCAACCAAACGUUGUAUGUGAGCUCAAAAUUGUUAUUGAAUUCUGUGAUGUUUUAAUGUGUUUCGUUUUCUUGAAAUAAAAGACCACCAAUGCAUGUAAAUUUAACUAACGAGAUAAUAAGACAGCGAAAUGAGGACGAUGCUGUUUUAUUUUAUCAAUUUAAACACUCAUUAUUUUUCAAGGUGCAAUCAUGGUUUGGUUUAAAAUAUAUCAUAUACAUAUAUAAACAAUAUGGCAAUAAUUAAAUGCAAAAUGUAAACAAUAUUACAUUCUUAUAAUUAAUCAAAUAAAUUAGGAUCAAUGCAUUUCGAAACUAGGGUACAAAAUUGAAAAUUAUCCAGAAUGGUUUAUUUGAGUAAUCUGUUCAUCUUCGAAUAUUAAACAGUAUUAUCAUUACAUGUUGCGUAUAUAUAGAUGUAUUGCUGUUUUGUUUGCAAAAAAUGAAAAGUUCUACAAUUUGACGA